This 2246-nucleotide ribosomal RNA is filed under the name Nautilus macromphalus (bellybutton nautilus). Its description in RNAcentral is "bacterial SSU rRNA". It matches the Rfam family "Eukaryotic small subunit ribosomal RNA". Lineage: Eukaryota; Metazoa; Mollusca; Cephalopoda; Nautilida; Nautilidae. The record is from RNAcentral.
GACGGCCAGUGAAUUCGAGCUCGGUACCCGGGGAUCCGAUUAUGCUUGUCUCAAAGAUUAAGCCAUGCAAGUGUAAGUUCAGGCCGAUUGAAUGGGCGAAACCGCGAACGGCUCAGGAACCGGACGUAAUCCAUUAGAUCGUACCGACCCUACUUGGAUAACUGUGGCAAUUCUAGAGCUAAUACAUGCAACGAUGCUCCGACUUCUUUCGUGGAAGGAAGAGCGCUUUUAUUAGACCAAGACCGAACGAUCGGCAUCGCGGCGAGCGUCGUCGAGAUCGAGGUGCCUCAGCGAUUUAGUCUUCGUUUAUAACAAAGGCGGUCGCUGUGAUCCUAUCUCGUUCGUUUGUUCGUUAGUUCGCAAGCGUUCCGUUCGAAAUCGCAAAUAUUGGUGACUCUGGAUAACUUUUGUCAGAUCGCAGGGCGUUCGCGCCGGCGACGGGUCUUUCGAACGUCCGCCCCAUCAACUUUCGACGGUCGGUUAGGCGCCGACCGUGGUGAUAACGGGUAACGGGGAAUCGGGGUUCGAUUCCGGAGAGGGAGCAUGCGAAACGGCUACCACAUCCAAGGACGGCAGCAGGCGCGCAAAUUACCCAAUCCCGGCACGGGGAGGUAGUGACGAAAAAUAUCGGUGCGGGUCUCGGAAUGAGAAUUCGCAAUCGGAAUGAGAACAAUCGAAAUCCUUUAUCGAGGAUCCAUUGGAGGGCAAGUCUGGUGCCAGCAGCCGCGGUAAUUCCAGCUCCAAUAGCGUAUGCUAAAGUUGUUGCGUUUAAAAAGCUCGUAGUCGGAUGUCGGAGUUUAGGGUGACGAGCGGAACGUCGUUCGGUGUAUUAGCGAUGCUUUUUGCGAAGAAAGGGAAUCGCAUAGGCUGUUUUGCUACCACUCGGGUGCAAAAGCUCCUAGUGCAGGUGCCUCGUAGUCGAUCGUUACGUGGUUGCUUCUUCGCCGGAUGCGAAGGCAAAAGCGUCGGUCGCGUCGUGCGUGCCUCGAGUGACGCGCGCUCGGGUAAGAAAACUCCCAUCGAUUCCUUCGCACUUUUUCGCUUUUCCCGUUCGUUCGAUCGUCGUUCUCGUGUAACCCGGCUCUCGGGCGGUAUGGAGAUCCGCACAAAUGGUCGGACUUCUCGCGAUGCUUUUGACCGAGUGUCGCGAGCGGCUGACACGUUUACUUUGAAAAAAUUAGAGUGCUCAAAGCGAGCGGGCAUCGAACGAAGGCCGGAAUAACGAUGCAUGGAAUAAUGGAAAAGGACCUCGGUUCUGUUCUGUUGGUCUUCGGAAGCGGAGGUAAUGAUCGAGAGGGACGGCCGCGGGCAUUGGUAUUGCGACGUUAGAGGUGAAAUUCUUAGAUCGCCGCAAGACCGACUACAGCGAAAGCGUUUGCCAAGAACGUUUUCUUUGAUCAAGAGCGAAAGUCAGAGGAUCGAAGACGAUCAGAUACCGUCGUAGUUCUGACCGUAAACGAUGCCGACCGGCCGUGCGUCGGAGUUAACGACCCGAUACGCAGCCACUCGGGAAACCUGAGUCUUCAGGUUACGGGGGGAGUAUGGUUGCAAAGCUGAAACUUAAAGGAAUUGACGGAAGGGCACCACCAGGAGUGGAACCUGCGGCUUAAUUUGACUCAACGCCCCCAAACUCACCCGGGCGGACACCGGUAGGAUUGACAGAUCGAAAGUUCUUUCUCGAUUCGGUGGUUGGUGGUGCAUGGCCGUUCUUAGUUCGUGGAGUGAUCUGUCUGGUUAAUUCCGUUAACGAACGAGACUCUAACCUGCUAAUUAGAUGGAAGGUUUUAAUCGUUUUUAUACGAUUUUAACCGGUUCGAAUUCAAUUAUCGCUUCUUAGAGGGACAGGCGGUGAUAAAAGCCGUACGAGAUUGAGCAAUAACAGGUCUGUGAUGCCCUUAGAUGUUCGGGGCCGCACGCGUGCUACAAUGAAGGAUUAAAAACGUCCUUGCGCGAAAGCGUUAUGGGAAAUCGUAUAAAUUCCUUCGUAAUUGGGAUCGUACUUUGAAACGUAGUACGUGAACGAGGAAUUCCUCGUAGUCGCGUGUCACCAUACACGCGUCGAUCAAGUCCCUGCCCUUUGUACACACCGCCCGUCGCUACUACCGAUCGAGCGUUUUGGUGAGAUCGUCAGAAUAGAUUAAUUAUUACAUUAAUAAUUGCUUCUGUGAAGACGAUCGAACUUGAUCGUUUAGAGGAAGUAAAAGUCGUAACAAGGUUUCCGUAGGUGAACCUGCGGAAGGAUCAUU